Molecule: ribosomal RNA, 459 nt
Filed under: uncultured bacterium
Lineage: Bacteria
Description: partial 16S ribosomal RNA
Rfam family: Bacterial small subunit ribosomal RNA
Source: RNAcentral
CCUACGGGAGGCAGCAGUGAGGAAUAUUGGUCAAUGGGCGCGAGCCUGAACCAGCCAAGUCGCGUGCGGGAAGACGGUCCUAUGGAUUGUAAACCUCUUUUGUCGGGGAGCAAAAGACGCCACGCGUGGCGUUCCGAGAGUACCCGAAGAAAAAGCAUCGGCUAACUCCGUGCCAGCAGCCGCGGUACUACGGAGGAUGCGAGCGUUAUCCAGAUUUAUUGGGUUUAAAGGGUGCGCAGGAGGAAGAUCAAGCCAGCGGUAAAAUGGAGGGGGUCAACCUGUUCGAGCCGUUGAAACUGGUUGUCUUGAGUGAGUGAGAAGUAUGCGGAAUGCGUGGUGUAGCGGUGAAAUGCAUAGAUAUGACGCAGAACUCCGAUUGCGAAGGCAGCAUACCGGCGCUCAACUGACGCUCAUGCACGAAAGUGUGGGUAUCGAACAGGAUUAGAUACCCCUGUAGUC